RNAcentral lists this long non-coding RNA (415 nucleotides) under Homo sapiens (human). RNAcentral describes it as "HSALNT0353328". Lineage: Eukaryota; Metazoa; Chordata; Mammalia; Primates; Hominidae. The record is from RNAcentral.
GAUAGGAAAAGUCUGAAUUAGCAAGGAGACAAGACCAGUGGUACUGAUAGUGAGGUGUUCUUUCAGCCAGGACCAGGGCCUUCCUGCUCCAGCGAAGCUCAUCCACCUGUGGGUCAAGCAACUCCAUCUGUCCUCAGGACGCUUUUUGAACACUGGCUCACUUCAGAGCCAUAAAUGCCUAGAUUUAUGAAUACAAGACAAGCAGCCCCAAGAGAAAAAUCAGUGAAGGAUAUGAAGAACAGUGCAUGGGAGAGCAAGCCUCAAUGAUCAAGAUGAGAAGAUGCUCAAAAGGGAAAUUCAGUCCACAAAAGCAAAGAGAUGACCCUCCCUAUCUGCCACACUGGCCAAAAAUAAAGAGGUCGAAAUAUUUGUAGCAUUAUGUCUAGAGCAAAACGUGAUAUAAAGUGAAAAGUGG